GCGCCCUGGAACACUCGGGGGCGCCGCGGGACCCAGAAUUCCCGGGGCCAUGGGAGAGACCAUCGGCUCUAACGGAGGGGGGCGUCCCGGGGUGGUGGGGCGGAGUCUGUGUCGUCAAACGGGCAGGAAGUUCCCGUGAGUCUUUGCCAGGAUUACCCUCCCUUCUGUGAGGAAUGGAAUGUUCCGAGUCCUUAAAGGCCCGGGACGCCACAGAAGCGACCUUUCUAUUAUCAUGAUAAUGGAGGUAAGUGGUGUUUGUAGUUGGGGACCAGUAGCAGGCGGCAAAGGCGAAGGAGCUAAAAGCUUCUUAAUUCCUGGGAAGAAGUUCUCGGGAAGCUUCAGUGGGGGGCGCAAGGCGGCUCCCUGUGGCGCGUCUCCGGCCUUCGGGGCGGCGGUGGGGAGAGUCGCGUGGGGCCUAAGAGGGCCGAGGCUCAAGGCCCGCGCGCGUGUCUGUCCCCCUGCGGUCCCCGAAGGCCGGGCCCCCGUUCCCCGGACCCGGCGUGGGAGGUGCGCCAACCCCGGAGGACUGGGUUGCAGAUGAGCGUGGGGUCGCCAGUGUGAUCAGAUCAGCAGCAGCCAAGUGUUCGAGGGAUGAGCCAUUGGCCUGCCUUGAGGUAAGCUUUGGUGUGUGGGACAGAUUGUGGAGCUGUUAGGUGAUGCGAAGUUCCGGUUAGGUUAGGUAGUAGUAGCACAUUGAUCUGGUUAACCUAAUAACUUGUAUCAGUGUAGCCCUUGACCUUUAUCGACAGGAUCCCAGAGAUACUGAUUAUGGCUCAUGGUGGCCGUGAAGCAGAGUGCAGAGGAAGCCCGGGAGUUCUUUUUACCUCACUGCUGUAAAAUCCUGCGCAAAUUGCCUAUCGGCUGAGAUGUACCUUUCCUCAUCCUUGAAGAUGACAGCUUUAGGUGUGUGAGGUUUAAAAUGAUGGGAUAAAAUGAGGUUGCAGCACCCAAAGAAGCCAGUUAGGACUUGGGGGCUUAACAUGGCUUCAUUUACCAAAGAACCACCUUCAGUAGGUUCUUAAGGGCUCCUCUGAGGAUGAACUGGAAUUUGUAGUCAGAAUUGCUCUUCUGCCUUUGGCAUCUGCUGCCUGUCUAGGGGUGCCUUAAUUCAUUCCCCCAGGUUGUGCGCUGAGGUGCUGAAGAAUGGUGAUGUGCAGCGUGCAGUUUUAAAGCCGGUGGCCGCGGCUCAGCCCAAGGAGCGGUAAGCUUUCACCUUACCUCCCCCCGUGGUAGAAUGAAUAAGCACCUAGUUUUGUUAAAAUUGAUUUUCAGAAAAAGGAUAUCAGAUGAUGAAAUCACCCAAAAUAGCUGGAAUUACCGGCAGAUUGUAUAGUGGUGAACGUAUGGUUUUCUGAAGAUGACCUUUUUAUGCUGUGAUUAACUGUUGGUUGGAGUAGAAAGUGACACUCAUACUUAGUUUCUUUGCAGGCUGUUUUCCCAGAGAACGGUCAGCCACGCUACAGCAGGGGAAGAACUUGUUUCGAGGACCAGUGGUCGCCAUCAGUUUGGACUGGAAACCCAGGCCUCAACAGUGGGUGUGGAAGCAGUGCUUACCUUGUGCGGAGAUUCAAAGGCCAUUCUCUUAACCAACAGAACCAACAAAUGUGUUUGGCAAAUUUUCUAGGAUAGGCACUGUUGGUGUCGUUGAAUUCAUGAGUUUUCUAAUAAUGUAUUACAAAUAACUGUAUUUUUAGCUCCCCUGCCCAAAGAGCUGCUAUACUUGUAAAUUUUGUAUAAAUUUGUUCUAUUGGGUGAGGGUCUGAGUUCUUAAAGCUGCAGAUAUAUUUCUUCCUGGAACUGAUAUUUCUCUGUGCAAUUACCACAAACUGCAAUAAAGGAUGGUCUUUAGUACUGGUUUUUAAAAAU
RNAcentral lists this long non-coding RNA (1866 nucleotides) under Ursus maritimus (polar bear). Lineage: Eukaryota; Metazoa; Chordata; Mammalia; Carnivora; Ursidae. The record is from RNAcentral.